UAAUUUUGGAAGAUGGAAUUUCAAUGGAGA
Molecule: non-coding RNA, 30 nt
Filed under: Rattus norvegicus (Norway rat)
Lineage: Eukaryota; Metazoa; Chordata; Mammalia; Rodentia; Muridae
Source: RNAcentral